GACGAACGCUGGCGGCGUGCUUAACACAUGCAAGUCGAACGAGCCAUAGCAAUAUGGUUAGUGGCGAACGGGUGAGUAACACGUGACUAAUCUGCCCCGGACUGGGGAAUAACGUCGGGAAACUGACGCUAAUACCGCAUAUUGAGCGCGGUUUGCAUGAUCUGCGCUUGAAAGAUUUAUCGGUCCGGGAUGAGGUCGCGCCCCAUUAGCUUGUUGGUAGGGUAACGGCCUACCAAGGCGACGAUGGGUAGCUGGUCUGAGAGGAUGAUCAGCCACACUGGGACUGAGAUACGGCCCAGACUCCUAUGGGAGGCAGCAGUGAGGAAUAUUGCGCAAUGGGCGAAAGCCUGACGCAGCAACGCCGCGUGGGGGAUGAAGGUGGUUUCCAUUGUAAACCCCUGUAGGGAGGGACGAACAAGCUGGUUUUGCCGGCUGUGACGGUACCUCCAAAGUAAGCACCGGCUAACUCCGUGCCAGCAGCCGCGGUAAUACGGGA
This 496-nucleotide ribosomal RNA is filed under the name uncultured bacterium. RNAcentral's name for it is "bacterial SSU rRNA". It matches the Rfam family "Bacterial small subunit ribosomal RNA", at positions 28 to 530 of the family's 1533-position model. The record is from RNAcentral.